GGCGAACGCUGGCGGCGUGCUUUACACAUGCAAGUCGAACGGAAAGGCCCUGCUUUUGUGGGGUGCUCGAGUGGCGAACGGGUGAGUAACACGUGAGUAACCUGCCCUUGACUUUGGGAUAACUUCAGGAAACUGGGGCUAAUACCGGAUAGGAGCUCCUGCUGCAUGGUGGGGGUUGGAAAGUUUCGGCGGUUGGGGAUGGACUCGCGGCUUAUCAGCUUGUUGGUGGGGUAGUGGCUUACCAAGGCUUUGACGGGUAGCCGGCCUGAGAGGGUGACCGGCCACAUUGGGACUGAGAUACGGCCCAGACUCCUACGGGAGGCAGCAGUGGGGAAUAUUGCACAAUGGGCGGAAGCCUGAUGCAGCAACGCCGCGUGCGGGAUGACGGCCUUCGGGUUGUAAACCGCUUUCGCCUGUGACGAAGCGUGAGUGACGGUAAUGGGUAAAGAAGCACCGGCUAACUACGUG
RNAcentral lists this ribosomal RNA (468 nucleotides) under uncultured bacterium. RNAcentral describes it as "partial 16S ribosomal RNA". It matches the Rfam family "Bacterial small subunit ribosomal RNA", at positions 28 to 507 of the family's 1533-position model. The record is from RNAcentral.